UACGUAGGGUGCAAGCGUUGUCCGGAAUUAUUGGGCGUAAAGAGCUCGUAGGCGGUUUGUCGCGUCUGCUGUGAAAACUCGGGGCUUAACCCCGGGCCUGCAGUGGGUACGGGCAGACUAGAGUGCGGUAGGGGAGAGUGGAAUUCCUGGUGUAGCGGUGAAAUGCGCAGAUAUCAGGAGGAACACCGGUGGCGAAGGCGGGUCUCUGGACCGUAACUGACGCUGAGGAGCGAAAGCGUGGGGAGCGAACAGG
This 253-nucleotide ribosomal RNA is filed under the name uncultured bacterium. Its description in RNAcentral is "partial 16S ribosomal RNA". It matches the Rfam family "Bacterial small subunit ribosomal RNA", at positions 524 to 776 of the family's 1533-position model. The record is from RNAcentral.